GUGGUGAGUGGUGGUGGUGGGCAGGGAGGGUGCGCAGCGGGGACGGAGGGCGUGCGGCGCCGCGGUAGGAGGUUGGGGUUGUGCGGCGACGUGGUGGGGAGGGUGGGAUCGCGCGGUGGCGCGACGGUGGGGGUAGACUUCCGCGGUGGCGCAGGUGUAGAGGCUUUGAGCGCGUGAAAAUGGCGGCCCGGUGCUUGACCCGUGGAGGGAGAAGUGACACGGCCGCAGCGGAAGCGGUUACGUGCGGCCGUCGGACGGAAGGGGCGUGGCCGCCGGAGGGAGGGUUGCGCACGGCUGUCGGAAGGAAGGGGCGCGGCCGCCGGAGGGAGGGUAGCGUACGGUUGCCGGUGGGAAGGGUCGUGGCCGCCGCAGGGAGGGUUUCGUGCGGCCGUGGAGGCAAGGGGCACGGCUGCCCCCCGUCGAAGGGAGGCUUGCGCACCGCGUAAAAGGAGGUUACCUACACGUGUUGAGCACCUCGAUGGAGGACCAGUCGACCAAGGGCAGCCGGAGGAGCGUGGCCUGUUUAGGAGGUCGCCCUGGAGCCUUCCGGACUGCGUGAGGGAGCUUGAUAGCGCGCAGGAGGGAGCUUGCCGGCCUGAGCAAAUGGAGGAGGUUAUACGCGUCCAACGACGAGAGCAGACGAAGGAGAAAGAAAAAACUUUACUCAGACGAAAGAGAGAGUGCUCGUACUACGAUGACGAGGAGAGUUGAGAGUUAAGAGUAAUAAAUGACAAAGAGGGGAUAUACUUGAUGACUACGAUGAAGUAGAGAUGAACAACACUUUAUUCUAAAACUAAAGUCUCUUCAGCGUUUAGUGUUUCCUUUCUUCUCGGUACAAAAGAUAACAACAAUAAAACAACGGGAGCACCACAAAUGACUUUACGGAUGUUGUUGAAUUCCACAAGAGAAAAAAAUUUUACUUCACUUACACAACAUGAUGACAAUUCGCGCCAGGAGGAGGGCUCGAGGAGGUACACGUAGGCGGAGGGUUCGACACGGUACUCGCCAACGCGGAUGAGGCAGCAGGUCCGCUGGUAGUACGCACGGAGGACUGGGGACGACAGUCCAACGCCGGAGAAAGCGACAGUCCAGUGUAGGAGAGGACGGCAGUCUAGCGUUGGAGAAGGAAAACGUGCAGCGGUGGAGGACGACGACGUCCGGCACGGGGUAGGGGGUAAGAGCGCACCAGCGGUUGUUCCUCCACUGGCUAACAACUAGGACUUCAAAGUAGUGUACUAAAAAACAGAGACUUAAAACGUGGUUAAGAACUAGGACUUCGUAGUUACGAACUCGUGACUAAAAACACACAAUCAAGUUUAAAACGCAGUUCGUCAAGCUGUUCCCACGCAGGGAGUCAUGAUGCUACUGCUCCGUCUGUCGGCGGGAGAAACACUGGACGACGAUAAGGGGUAGAACGUGACCGCUUGAUUACUACGCCCUCGACGGGACAAACGAUGUUGGGGUGCACCUAGAGAGAGAAAGAGGAGAGAAUUUAAGUAACCUUUUCAACCAAAGAACAAGAACAACACAGCACUUAUGGGAGUUCAACAAACUAUAAUAAGGAUACUCUUUUGACUAGGUAUCGUCUAAAACAAGGUCUCGACAAGUUUCAAGUCUGAAUGCAAAACACUUCCGUUCCUGUUCCUCUUCGGAUACCUAUUGUCAAGCACACCUCGAACCGGUCAAGGAGACAAGUACACACUCGAACGAGUCAAACAGGUAAAUAGAGACAAGUCAAGUACAUCUCCUAGGGAGCUUAAGUGGAGGAGAGCAAGAAAUAGUGUUUACUAAAAGCGAUAGGCGUCGUUUAAUGUCAUACUCUCACCCUCAAAAUAUAACAUGAGAGACGGACGUGUUACGUAAAACAUCACAACCAUCAACAUCUCUAAACAAACACAAUUUUUACCAAAAUACAUAAAACAUCACAGCCAUGAAUUCAUCUUGUAAUCAAGUUUAGAAGUUUAAAAUAUAUCAAGUUCAUGUAUUCCUUGUAUUCCUUGAAAUCAAUCAAAGAACUUAAAGCUGAGGAAAUCAAAAACAAGAAUUGGUCAAAAACAAGUUAAUAUAUUCCUGACUGCGGUAAUCAAAGUUUUUCCUCGAAGACAUCUACACCUCUAACCAUUUUAGAUUUCAAGUUGAUAAGACUACCCCGUGAAGUAUUUCGUUUCUUUUUUCUUUCGUCUCGUUUUCACUUCUUUUUAUUUUUCUUUUAGUUUCACCAGGACUCUUCUUUUACGGAUGACAGAUCAUUAUGUAAGAGAGUAAACAGAUACAAAUAAACAACACUCUUAUUUUUUGUCACCAUGGUAUGUAUAAUGAACUCGACAAGUAUAUUUUUUUACGCAGCCAAACACAUUGUAGUCAAGAUUGAAGAUAUCGAACUAUUUACUAAUCUUCAGUUAGACUUAAGUAAAACUAGGUAAGAGAACACUAAAAACCGACUUGAGGUUAUGAACGUAGGCGGUGGGGUUGCGGCCGCACAAGGGAGUCAGGAGAGAGCUGUUUAGGUUGUCAUGUCCAAGAGGCCACACGGUUCAUAAUGGACGCCGCUAGGGAUGUAGUACCGGGUAACUCCUCUAGAACACAUAAGGUGUAUCUUCUUUAUAACAGUCAAGUACUUAUCUCUUAAAGACAUGGUCUGAAUUAUAAUCAAGUCACGCAUAAGAUAGAAGUCAGGUGCUUUUUAGUGUCUUAUCAACCACACACACGUGUUUAUAACAGUCACGUUCAAAGUUUUAAGACAUUGAAAUCUAUAUAGUGGACUUUUUCAUUACUAAACGUCGCUCAAAGAAGUUUUAAUACAUUUCAAAUCAUAAUAUCACACACAAAACUUGAUUCUAGAUAUGAGAUACUUGAAAAACAUGAAAGACCUGAACUUCGUAAAAAAAGAGUAUAUAAUUUAGUUCACGUAUAUACUUUAGAACUUGCUUUACGAGAUACCUGAGAACCUGACAUAACAACCUCUUGACAACAAGCCAUGGAUUACAUUAAACGUGUAUUUCGUAAAACAAGAGUCAAAAACCCACUUUUCAAACGAAGGAUAUAACGUAUCGACGACGUCACUGGUAUCCUUAAAUAAUCUUAUUAAAUUACAAAAACAUAGAGUGGAGAUUAAACAAAGAAAGAUGACGAGAAAGGAGAUUGUUAAAACAAAGACAGAUAUGAUGUCGUGCUCCCUCAGAACCUGCCUGCGACUAGUGAUCGGGUGAUGCUGCUGCGACUAGUGAUCGUGCUUCCUGUGAUCGUCCAACUCCUACUUCAUGUACUGCAUCCGUUACUCCUACUGGUUUUGUACCUUAGGCAUGUGUUUCGUCG
Molecule: ribosomal RNA, 3315 nt
Filed under: Triticum aestivum (bread wheat)
Lineage: Eukaryota; Viridiplantae; Streptophyta; Magnoliopsida; Poales; Poaceae
Description: partial small subunit ribosomal RNA
Source: RNAcentral